GCUUCUUACAUGUACAGUACUAGUCAAAAGAUUGCAUCUGAAGGAAAGUUUUAAUUUUUUUUCCAUUUUUGUUGAUCCUGCGACAAACAGCAAAAGUAGGCAAGAUACUAAGUUCUGGGAAACUCUUACAAUUUUUAAUUUAAAUACAUCGGUCACCUAUCUCCAGCUAGGAAUUGAAUUGAAGGCCACAUGAAUGAUUCGAUGAAGGCCACAUGAAUGAUUAUGAAUACGUAUUCG
RNAcentral lists this long non-coding RNA (237 nucleotides) under Mytilus galloprovincialis (Mediterranean mussel). Lineage: Eukaryota; Metazoa; Mollusca; Bivalvia; Mytilida; Mytilidae. The record is from RNAcentral.